Capsicum annuum is the source of this 618-nucleotide long non-coding RNA. RefSeq lists it as uncharacterized. The transcript has 2 exons. Lineage: Eukaryota; Viridiplantae; Streptophyta; Magnoliopsida; Solanales; Solanaceae. The record is from RefSeq and is a predicted model, not a curated record.
AUAAGACAAAAAUAUUGGAGAGAGAGGCUUAUAAAUUCAUUGCCCCUCAAGAAGCAAAAAUAUUGCACUUCAAUAACAAAUAAUUCAUACGUAGUUAGUACUAUUGUCAUGGCUCGCAAUUAUGCUUUCUAUUUCAUUGUUGCACUUAUUGUGAUAUCUGUUUAUAUGGCUCAGUCUCCAACUGUGAAAGUAAUUGCUGCGAGAGAUUUGUCGGAGACUAUGACAAAACUGAAAUCAAAACUAAAUGGUAAAAAUACGAUGGGUCUUUGUGGUGGAUACUGUAGGUCGAGCUCUGACUGCUUUGAUAAGACAUGUCCCCGUUGUUAUUACGAUGUUAUUAAGCAUACCUACGGCUGCAGCUACUAAAGGAUCAUGACCGGCCAGAACAAUACUAAGUUUGUUUCUCUAAAUAUGACUAGAUGGUUUUGUGGUUUAUUUUCAUUGUUUUUCUGUUUUUGUUUAUGGGAAGAAAAUAAAACGAUUAAGUUCUACGUCUACCUAGAUCAAGACGUGUGGGAUGUAAUAUCAAAAUGGGUUGUGAUGGCCUAUUAACUGUUCCUGACGUAUUUGUACUUUUAAUUUUGAAUGAAACUCUACUAUCAUUUUGCUUGAUUAAAA